AAACUAACAAGGAUUCCCCUAGUAACGGCGAGUGAAGCGGGAAGAGCUCAAAUUUAAAAUCUGGCAGGCUACGCUUGUCCGAAUUGUAAUCUCGAGAAGUGUUUUCCGCGUUGGCCUGUGUACAAGUCCCUUGGAACAGGGCGUCAUAGAGGGUGAGAAUCCCGUCCUUGACACAGACACCCAAUGCUUUGUGAUACACUCUCAAUGAGUCGAGUUGUUUGGGAAUGCAGCUCAAAAUGGGUGGUAAAUUCCAUCUAAAGCUAAAUACUGGCGAGAGACCGAUAGCGAACAAGUACCGUGAGGGAAAGAUGAAAAGCACUUUGGAAAGAGAGUCAAACAGUACGUGAAAUUGUUGAAAGGGAAACGAUUGAAGUCAGUCGUGCCUGCCUAGAUUCAGCCUUCUGGUGUAUUUCUAGGUUGGCAGGUCAGCAUCAGUUUGGGGGGGUUAACAAGGGAAUUGGGAAUGUGGCAACCUCGGUUGUGUUAUAGCCCAGUUUCGCAUUGAUCUCGCUGGACUGAGGAACGCAGUGCGCCCGCAAGGGUUGGUCUUCGGACACAUUCGCACUUAGGAUACGCUUUU
RNAcentral lists this ribosomal RNA (580 nucleotides) under Cystofilobasidium infirmominiatum. RNAcentral's name for it is "LSU rRNA". It matches the Rfam family "Eukaryotic large subunit ribosomal RNA", at positions 62 to 616 of the family's 3401-position model. The record is from RNAcentral. Lineage: Eukaryota; Fungi; Basidiomycota; Tremellomycetes; Cystofilobasidiales; Cystofilobasidiaceae.